Molecule: long non-coding RNA, 1885 nt
Organism: Gasterosteus aculeatus aculeatus (three-spined stickleback)
Lineage: Eukaryota; Metazoa; Chordata; Actinopteri; Perciformes; Gasterosteidae
Source: Ensembl
AUGGCUGUAACUGGCAGUGAGCUGUAACAGUAGGUGACGAUUUUGUCCAGGCUUUGUAAAGGGAGCAACAGCGCCUUCUUCUGGUUGUGUUCAGUCAGACAGCACCAUGGACAGGAACUCACACGAAAAAGCGAUAUAAUGUGCCUGGGGGCCGUCUCGUUAUUAACCUAAUAUUAACUAAGUAAUUAUUCAUUUUGACAAAAAUAUGACUAAGAUUGAUAUUUUCCUGCUACAUCGUGCUAUGCACCCACACAACAAAAAAAUAAACAAGAAACACACACAUAGAACACAUGACAACAGAGAUCCUUUCAUCAGGUACAGGAUACUGUGCUUUAGAAUAAGAAGCAAGAUAACUAGCAAUAGUGUCUGCUGCAGUUUCACAAACAUGCACCAUCUGCUCCAACUGCAGGGUAUUUUUCAAAUAUGAUGCAAAGGUAUAAAAUAUACAGUGCCGGCGACCGAACUCAACCGCCAGCGUCCCACUGAGCAGGUGUACGCCGAACGCAAUGAGUCAUCAACCUCAAAUGUGCCGCUUGGCAAGGUUUUCGACUUAUUACAGAAGUCUGCUGAUGAACUGAUAACCAUUAGGAAGCUUCUUGUCCCCGAGGAAUAGAUCUUCAAACAUAGACUCCAAGUCGUUGUGGGAAUCGGCAACAAGUCCCAAUGCCCCAGAUAUGGUAUCAAAACAAGAUAUUUUUAGCUGAUCCAAGAAAACAGCGAGCUUCUCAACCCUUUCACUCAGAUGUGUAAACUGAGGAAGUCUGCACGCUUGCUACACCUCAUCACACCUCAAAUGAUGGCAUCUAAUAUUUCAACCAACAAACUGUAUUUUGAGGAAAGUUAUGUCCUCCGUGGCUCAAAACGCCACCUAAACGCCGCGCAGAAUGACAAACUAUAGGGGCAGCGUUGCCGUGAUGGUAGAGCGUGACAUUCUUCCCUCUACUGAGCGUUUUAAUUACAAUAUCUCUGCAUUCCUGCCCGGAGCAGCAGCUCCUCUGAGCCCCUCCAUCCCCAUCCACUCCCUGCACGGGCCAAGGCCGUUUUCCCCGCUAAAAUAGGUCCACUGCUCUCCCCCCCCCCCGGAGACGGGGCUCUUUAACCGGAAGCCAACCAAACAUUAAGGGCUUUGGCAGCCGGAGCGCAGGCGAGUAGUAAAGGAACGGACAAGUGCCUCCUGGAAACAGCAUCAGCAUAAAGGCUGCAAGACGCCGCGGAGAUCCGGGAGUUGGACGUCUCAGCUCGUCCUCUGUUCAGAAACACAGCAGCAGAGCUGUCAUCCAGCUCACUACCACCGACUCUUCAGGUGUCUGUGUGUGUGUGUCUGUGUGUGUGUUUGUGUCGGUCUGUGUAUUGGGGAAAAGCGUCAAGAAAGAGGUUUUAUCCUUGGAGCCACACAGUCUACACUAUUUUGGACGCAGCCACCUGAGUUGAGAAGUUUCUCUUGUGGUUAUGUUACUUUUACCAUAAGGACUGAGACACAAUUGAGAGACAAAGCAAUGAUGUUUACAUAUUUGCUUAGCGGACAGUAGAAACAAAUGUCCUUUCUUCUUUGAAUAAAUGAUUCUGUUCAUUAUGUUACUCAGAUAAACAUUUGCAUUAUUUCUUGAUUUGAAUAUUCUACUUGGUUAUUCUUUUUUGGGGCUUUACGUCACAUAAUUUGCAUUAGUCACUGUGUAUGAUGGAAGCAUUUCUCCACCAUGAAUGGCCUCUCAUUCGACUCAGAUCGUUGAUCUAAAUCACUGCAGCUUUUCUCCCCUUAAAUUUUUCAAAGCCUGAUCCAAGAAAAAUGUUGUACGUGCAAAGCUCUCCACCUCCUUGCCUGUGCACCACUUUUUUAUUUUUUCUAGGCACAUAUUUGUGAUCAGUUAGCCUGUGUGGGCUCGCA